Long non-coding RNA from Aegilops tauschii subsp. strangulata, 951 nucleotides. RefSeq lists it as uncharacterized. NCBI's taxonomy places the organism in Eukaryota, Viridiplantae, Streptophyta, Magnoliopsida, Poales, Poaceae. The record is from RefSeq and is a predicted model, not a curated record.
GAAUGGGCACAUUAAGCUGCAACAUGAUAAACUAGUGUUCCAUUUGCUUGGCAGAAAAGCAACUGUGAACUUAACUUAUGGGCAAAAGCAAAGGUUGCGUACGUACCUAUAUAAGGACCUCACUGAAGCUUUCUUGCACACCAACCUCUCUUUCUUCUCUCUUCUUAUAGAGGGGCACACACAAGCAAAGAGAGAGAGAAAGAGACACACACACAAAUUGAGAGAGAGAGAGAGAGAGAGAGAGAGAGAGAGAGAGAGCAACAAUGCCUUGGGGAAGCAUCCAAAGGGAUCGCAUUGAUCCUUCCGUCCAUGGUGCUGGUGGCCGUUAUCAAUCGACCGGCUCGACGGAUCAUGCGAUCCUUUUGGAAGCUUCCUCUAGCCAUUACUCCACUGAUGAUUCCAUGGCUGGCUGGCUAACUCUUCGUUGCUUCCAUCAUGUUCUCCAACGAGCUAGGAAAUAUUUGGCUGGUUUCCAAAUAUCACAUGUUGCCGUGGCAGCAAUAUACCCUACCGUGGCAACGUACUAAAUGCAGCCCGAAUAACUUACCAGUGGAGCGCGAGCAAAAUGGACCGCCACAAGUACGUUGAAUGUCCAGUGGCGGGCGCUACACUGAUAGGAUCUUUACCAGUGGCGGAUGUCGUGCCCGUGACUGAGGAUCUGCUAGGAGUGGCAGGCGCGCCUGAUAGCUCCGACCGCCACUGAUGGCCGUUUUCAGCCCGCCACUGCUAGCCUUUUCUGCAGUAGUGAACCUUGUAGGCUUUUCACAUUUUUCAUUCAUUUUAGAGGUUGAACGACUACUGCACUUCCUAAUAUCUGAGAUGCAACCAAUGAACUCAACCUCAAGAGAAGCAGAGCCAAAUGCAUUUGAAAUGUUAGUCUUAUUGUAUGUUUCAAUUGACUCACAUAUAUUGUUGCAUAAAAUAGGAUAGUCUAUCAUCCUGGACUGUUAA